AGCGGCAGACGGCUGAGUAACACGUAGGAACCUACCCCUCGGUAGAAUAUAGCCCCGAGAAAUCGGGGGUAAUCUUCUAUAAUAUCUCCGGAUUAAAGGGCGUAACUGCUCGCCAAGGGAGGGGCCUGCGGCCUAUCAGGUAGUUGGUGUGGUAAAAGCGCACCAAGCCUAUGACGGGUAGCUGACCUUAUGAGGGUGAUCAGCCAGAGGAGUACUGAGAUACGGACUCCACAUCUACGGAUGGCAGCAAUCAGGAAUCGUUGGCAAUGGGCGAAAGCCUGACCACGCGACACCGCGUGCGGGAAGAAGCCUCUCGGGGCGUAAACCGCUGUGGCGAGGGAAGAAAUCCCGAUUUAAUCGGGACUGACGGUACCUCGCAAGAAAGUAGCCGCUAACUUCGUGCCAGAAGCGUCGGUGAUACGGGGGCUACAAGCGUUAUCCGGUGUGACUGGGCGUAAAGGGUCUGUAGGCGGUCCUUCAAGUUACUUUUUAAAGGUCCCGAUCCAAUCGGGAAAAGGGAAGUAAUACUGUGGGACUGGAGUUUUCUUUAGGGUAAUCGGAAUUGAUAGAGGAGUAGUGAAAUGCGUUGAUACUAUCAAGAACACCAAUGGCGAAGGCAGAUUACUGGAAGAGGACUGACGCUGAAAGACGAAAGCUAGGGGAGCGAACCGGAUUAGAGACCCGGGUAGUCCUAGCCCUA
This 700-nucleotide ribosomal RNA is filed under the name uncultured bacterium. RNAcentral describes it as "bacterial SSU rRNA". It matches the Rfam family "Bacterial small subunit ribosomal RNA", at positions 94 to 804 of the family's 1533-position model. The record is from RNAcentral.